Molecule: long non-coding RNA, 865 nt
Filed under: Ananas comosus (pineapple)
Lineage: Eukaryota; Viridiplantae; Streptophyta; Magnoliopsida; Poales; Bromeliaceae
Description: long non-coding RNA (ACOM_LNC026964)
Source: RNAcentral
UAUAUAGAGCUAGACCGGUAUACUAUCGGUAGCACGGAAGCCUCCGUGCUACUAAAUUGUUUUCAAUGUUGCGGCUUCCAAAUUGACGAUCGGCUCCUUUAAACUAUUAAAAGUAUUUGGAAACUAAAUUUCAUAACUUUUCGGCAUCAUUUACCUAUCAAACGAGUAAUCUAAAAAUAAACGGCUGAAAAUAAAAAUCUCAUAAAAAAUGAUGAUAAAAGACUUGAAUUUAAGAUCAGAGGUAUUGAUCUUACUCUAAAUAGUGAAAAGAAUUUUCUAUAAAAAUUUCAUCAGAUUUGGAGUGUUUUACACCAUUAAAUUCACAAACGCAUCACAUCUACCAUUAAAAUUAUCAAUUUUGAGACAUUUUGAUCACUAACCAAAUAAUGCCGAAAAAUUAUGAAAUUUAGUUUCCAAAUACUUUUAAUAGUGUAGAUCAAGUCUAACAGAGCCAAUUGUCGAUUUGGAAGCAGCAUCAUUGAAAACAACUUGGUAGCACGGAGGCCUCCGUGCUACCGAUAGUAUACCAGCCUAGCUCUAUAUAUAUAUAUAUAGAGAGAGAGAGAGAGAGAGAGAGAUCAAAUUUUUAGUUUUUGGGUUAAUUUCUUUCAUCAUUUCUAACCAUUGAAUUAAAUAUUAUAACCCAAUAAGAACCACUCAAUCCUAAGGAACCACUCAACCCUAAGAAACCAAUAUCAUUCUAACCCUACAAUUUUUCAUUUAAGGAUUAAAAAUUUGAUAGCAAAAAAGAUCUUUUGCUAUUAGUAGUAUUCCAGUCUAGCGCUCUCUCUCUCUCUCUCUCUCUCUAUAUAUAUAUAUAUAUAUAUAUAUAUAAACUCUAAAUAAUUCAUCAAUUAAAACUCUA